RNAcentral lists this non-coding RNA (76 nucleotides) under Plasmodium falciparum 3D7. Lineage: Eukaryota; Apicomplexa; Aconoidasida; Haemosporida; Plasmodiidae. The record is from RNAcentral.
CUCCUUUGCGUUGUCGAUUCUAAAAUAAUCUUUUCCUCAUUAGGAGUAUUAUUAUUUUUAGGUUCCAUUUGUUGGU